This 239-nucleotide unclassified non-coding RNA is filed under the name uncultured Chloromonas. RNAcentral's name for it is "partial contains ITS2 and 28S rRNA". Lineage: Eukaryota; Viridiplantae; Chlorophyta; Chlorophyceae; Chlamydomonadales; Chlamydomonadaceae. The record is from RNAcentral.
GGUUCAAUAUCCCACCCYUCUCACUCCCAUUUAUUUGUGURUGAGGCGUGUGUGUGGGGAUAAAUCGCAGUCUCGCCCCGUCAAACGGACGAGUCUGCCGAAGUCAACAAGGUGCCUCANAGUGUGGUGUUCGGUCUCUCGGGAUCGUUCAUCAUYUCAAGCCGCACUCGAAUACACAUCUCGUAUGUCUUUCGACCUCGACGUCUUGCACUCUGANGAURYGUGCUUAAAAYCCACRU